AGAGAAAGACGACGAUACAACAAACACAGGCUUAAAGUGAAUUUCUAAUCGCUUAGCUGUCAUUUUUUUUAUUAUAAAGUAUUAAUUACCCAACAAGUAGAGUCUCGUAGCUCAGCUGGUUAGAGCGCUACACUGAUAAUGUAGAGGUCGGCAGUUCGAGUCUGCCCGAGACUACUUUUAAUUACGAAUUCUUAAUUACGAAUUACGAAUUGAAAAUCUAUAAAUUAGGUUGGGGGAGAUAGUACAAUUGAGAAUCUAGGGUGAGCAAUGUCCCUGAAAGUGGGUAAUUGUUUCCCUGUUUCAACCAUGGGGAAUUAGCUCAGCUGGCUAGAGCACUUGAUUUGCAUUCAAGAGGUCAUCGGUUCGACUCCGAUAUUCUCCACAAUAAAGUUCUUUGACAUAUUGAGAAUACAAGGGUUAACUAUUAUAUAAUUAUAUAAUAGAGUAACGAGCAAAUAAUAGAGAAUAUUUUUAAAAGCAAUUUUAAAGAAAGAGUAAUAAAGUUAC
RNAcentral lists this transfer RNA (507 nucleotides) under uncultured Flavobacteriaceae bacterium. RNAcentral's name for it is "16S-23S ribosomal RNA intergenic spacer". The stretch from base 101 to 174 matches the Rfam family "tRNA". The record is from RNAcentral. Lineage: Bacteria; Pseudomonadati; Bacteroidota; Flavobacteriia; Flavobacteriales; Flavobacteriaceae.